This 569-nucleotide long non-coding RNA is filed under the name Phaseolus vulgaris (common bean). RNAcentral describes it as "long non-coding RNA (PVUL_LNC004577)". Lineage: Eukaryota; Viridiplantae; Streptophyta; Magnoliopsida; Fabales; Fabaceae. The record is from RNAcentral.
ACAAAUUCAUUUCAUUCAGGUUACGUGCAAUAACUAUCGAUAACGGUGAGUAAUGUUUUGUAGCUAAAAAGCUAGCACACCGAAUUACAGAAAAAGUAAAUCAUAAACAUGGUCUAACAGUUUACCCCAUAAAAUUACAUCAUUCCAAAUUAUUCACAUACACACUUUACUUGUUCCGAUACCACGUUUAGGCAUCCUUAUAUUUAAUGGUUAGAGAUAUGUACUGCAGCUACAGUUGAGUCCAUCGAGUCCACCCCUCAUACAUUCUGACCUCUGCAGAUCUUGUAAUAUCUGUUUCUACCCAGUUCUCUCCCCAUGAAUUCUUUAAGAUCCAGUAAGGUUUUUCCUUAAACCGGAUGGGAGCAUAAGCACCAGCACCAUAGCCCACUCCAUGAUCCAAUGCUUGCCGGAGAUGUAUGGGCAUGAGAUGCCACCAGUAUAUGUGUACAUAAAAACUGCAUUGAUAGCAACUAUGCCAUGAAAAGGAAAAGUCAGUCUUUCUCUAAUCUCCCACAUGUUUUCUAAGUUAUGAAACAUGGCAUGUUUUUUAAGUUAUGAAACAUGGAAGA